RNAcentral lists this transfer RNA (86 nucleotides) under Candidatus Woesearchaeota archaeon. Its description in RNAcentral is "tRNA-Leu". It matches the Rfam family "tRNA". Rfam says of the family: Transfer RNA (tRNA) molecules are approximately 80 nucleotides in length. Their secondary structure includes four short double-helical elements and three loops (D, anti-codon, and T loops). The record is from RNAcentral. Lineage: Archaea; Nanobdellati; Candidatus Woesearchaeota.
GCGGAGGUGGCAGAGCCUGGUCAAAUGCGCAAGGUUGAGGGCCUUGUCCCUUAGUGGGUACGCGUGUUCGAAUCACGUCCUCCGCA